This 501-nucleotide ribosomal RNA is filed under the name uncultured bacterium. RNAcentral describes it as "partial 16S ribosomal RNA". It matches the Rfam family "Bacterial small subunit ribosomal RNA", at positions 30 to 523 of the family's 1533-position model. The record is from RNAcentral.
AUUGAACGCUGGCGGCAGGCUUAACACAUGCAAGUCGAGCGGGGGAAGGUAGCUUGCUACCGGACCUAGCGGCGGACGGGUGAGUAAUGCUUAGGAAUCUGCCUAUUAGUGGGGGACAACAUCUCGAAAGGGAUGCUAAUACCGCAUACGUCCUACGGGAGAAAGCAGGGGAUCUUGGGACCUUGCGCUAAAAGAUGAGCCUAGGUCGGAUUAGCUAGUUGGUGGGGUAAAGGCCUACCAAGGCGACGAUCUGUAGCGGGUCUGAGAGGAUGAUCCGCCACACUGGGACUGAGACACGGCCCAGACUCCUACGGGAGGCAGCAGUGGGGAAUAUUGGACAAUGGGGGGAACCCUGAUCCAUCCAUGCCGCGUGUGUGAAGAAGGCCUUAUGGUUGUAAAGCACUUUAAGCGAGGAGGAGGCUACUUUAGUUAAUACCUAGAGAUAGUGGACGUUACUCGCAGAAUAAGCACCGGCUAACUCUGUGCCAGCAGCCGCCGUAA